Molecule: ribosomal RNA, 2909 nt
Filed under: Enterobacter sp. MGH 12
Lineage: Bacteria; Pseudomonadati; Pseudomonadota; Gammaproteobacteria; Enterobacterales; Enterobacteriaceae
Description: bacterial LSU rRNA
Rfam family: Bacterial large subunit ribosomal RNA
Source: RNAcentral
UUAAGCGACUAAGCGUACACGGUGGAUGCCCUGGCAGUCAGAGGCGAUGAAGGACGUGCUAAUCUGCGAAAAGCGCCGGCGAGGUGAUAUGAACCUUUGACCCGGCGAUGUCCGAAUGGGGAAACCCAGUGCAAUCCGUUGCACUAUCGUUAACUGAAUACAUAGGUUAACGAGGCGAACCGGGGGAACUGAAACAUCUAAGUACCCCGAGGAAAAGAAAUCAACCGAGAUUCCCCCAGUAGCGGCGAGCGAACGGGGAGCAGCCCGGAGUCUGAAUCAGCUUGUGUGUUAGUGGAACGGUCUGGAAAGUCCGACGGUACAGGGUGAUAGUCCCGUACACGAAAGCACACAUGCUGUGAACUCGAAGAGUAGGGCGGGACACGUGGUAUCCUGUCUGAAUAUGGGGGGACCAUCCUCCAAGGCUAAAUACUCCUGACUGACCGAUAGUGAACCAGUACCGUGAGGGAAAGGCGAAAAGAACCCCGGCGAGGGGAGUGAAAAAGAACCUGAAACCGUGUACGUACAAGCAGUGGGAGCCUCUUUAUGGGGUGACUGCGUACCUUUUGUAUAAUGGGUCAGCGACUUAUAUUCUGUAGCAAGGUUAACCGUAUAGGGGAGCCGAAGGGAAACCGAGUCUUAACUGGGCGUUAAGUUGCAGGGUAUAGACCCGAAACCCGGUGAUCUAGCCAUGGGCAGGUUGAAGGUUGGGUAACACUAACUGGAGGACCGAACCGACUAAUGUUGAAAAAUUAGCGGAUGACCUGUGGCUGGGGGUGAAAGGCCAAUCAAACCGGGAGAUAGCUGGUUCUCCCCGAAAGCUAUUUAGGUAGCGCCUCGUGAACUCAUCUUCGGGGGUAGAGCACUGUUUCGGCUAGGGGGCCAUCCCGGCUUACCAACCCGAUGCAAACUACGAAUACCGAAGAAUGUUAUCACGGGAGACACACGGCGGGUGCUAACGUCCGUCGUGAAGAGGGAAACAACCCAGACCGCCAGCUAAGGUCCCAAAGUCAUGGUUAAGUGGGAAACGAUGUGGGAAGGCACAGACAGCCAGGAUGUUGGCUUAGAAGCAGCCAUCAUUUAAAGAAAGCGUAAUAGCUCACUGGUCGAGUCGGCCUGCGCGGAAGAUGUAACGGGGCUAAACCAUGCACCGAAGCUGCGGCAGCGACGCUUAGGCGUUGUUGGGUAGGGGAGCGUUCUGUAAGCCGUUGAAGGUGUGCUGUGAGGCAUGCUGGAGGUAUCAGAAGUGCGAAUGCUGACAUAAGUAACGAUAAAGCGGGUGAAAAGCCCGCUCGCCGGAAGACCAAGGGUUCCUGUCCAACGUUAAUCGGGGCAGGGUGAGUCGACCCCUAAGGCGAGGCCGAAAGGCGUAGUCGAUGGGAAACAGGUUAAUAUUCCUGUACUUGGUGUUACUGCGAAGGGGGGACGGAGAAGGCUAUGUCAGCCGGGCGACGGUUGUCCCGGUUUAAGCAUGUAGGCGGAGGUUCCAGGUAAAUCCGGUACCUUAUUAACGCUGAGGUGUGAUGACGAGGCACUACGGUGCUGAAGUGAUAAAUGCCCUGCUUCCAGGAAAAGCCUCUAAGCAUCAGGUAACACGAAAUCGUACCCCAAACCGACACAGGUGGUCAGGUAGAGAAUACCAAGGCGCUUGAGAGAACUCGGGUGAAGGAACUAGGCAAAAUGGUGCCGUAACUUCGGGAGAAGGCACGCUGAUAUGUAGGUGAAGUCCCUGCGGACGGAGCUGAAAUCAGUCGAAGAUACCAGCUGGCUGCAACUGUUUAUUAAAAACACAGCACUGUGCAAACACGAAAGUGGACGUAUACGGUGUGACGCCUGCCCGGUGCCGGAAGGUUAAUUGAUGGGGUUAGCGGCAACGCGAAGCUCUUGAUCGAAGCCCCGGUAAACGGCGGCCGUAACUAUAACGGUCCUAAGGUAGCGAAAUUCCUUGUCGGGUAAGUUCCGACCUGCACGAAUGGCGUAAUGAUGGCCAGGCUGUCUCCACCCGAGACUCAGUGAAAUUGAACUCGCUGUGAAGAUGCAGUGUACCCGCGGCAAGACGGAAAGACCCCGUGAACCUUUACUAUAGCUUGACACUGAACACUGGUCCUUGAUGUGUAGGAUAGGUGGGAGGCUUUGAAGCGUGGACGCCAGUCUGCGUGGAGCCAACCUUGAAAUACCACCCUUUAAUGGCUGGUGUUCUAACGUAGACCCGUAAUCCGGGUUGCGGACAGUGUCUGGUGGGUAGUUUGACUGGGGCGGUCUCCUCCCAAAGAGUAACGGAGGAGCACGAAGGUUGGCUAAUCCUGGUCGGACAUCAGGAGGUUAGUGCAAUGGCAUAAGCCAGCUUGACUGCGAGCGUGACGGCGCGAGCAGGUGCGAAAGCAGGUCAUAGUGAUCCGGUGGUUCUGAAUGGAAGGGCCAUCGCUCAACGGAUAAAAGGUACUCCGGGGAUAACAGGCUGAUACCGCCCAAGAGUUCAUAUCGACGGCGGUGUUUGGCACCUCGAUGUCGGCUCAUCACAUCCUGGGGCUGAAGUAGGUCCCAAGGGUAUGGCUGUUCGCCAUUUAAAGUGGUACGCGAGCUGGGUUUAGAACGUCGUGAGACAGUUCGGUCCCUAUCUGCCGUGGGCGCUGGAGAAUUGAGGGGGGCUGCUCCUAGUACGAGAGGACCGGAGUGGACGCAUCACUGGUGUUCGGGUUGUCAUGCCAAUGGCACUGCCCGGUAGCUAAAUGCGGAANGCUGACGAGUGGCGGACGGGUGAGUAAUGUCUGGGAAACUGCCUGAUGGAGGGGGAUAACUACUGGAAACGGUAGCUAAUACCGCAUAACGUCGCAAGACCAAAGAGGGGGACCUUCGGGCCUCUUGCCAUCGGAUGUGCCCAGAUGGGAUUAGCUAGUAGGUGGGGUAACGGC